This 253-nucleotide ribosomal RNA is filed under the name uncultured bacterium. RNAcentral describes it as "partial 16S ribosomal RNA". It matches the Rfam family "Bacterial small subunit ribosomal RNA", at positions 524 to 776 of the family's 1533-position model. The record is from RNAcentral.
UACAGAGGUGGCGAGCGUUGUUCGGAUUUAUUGGGUGUAAAGGGCAGGUAGGUGGUCGUGUAAGUCCGCUGUGAAAUCCCAGGGCUCAACCCUGGAACUGCAGUAGAAACUACACGACUUGAGUGUCGGAGAGGUGAGGGGAAUUCUCGGUGUAAGGGUGAAAUCUGUAGAUAUCGAGAGGAAUACCAGUGGCGAAGGCGCCUCACUGGCCGACAACUGACACUGAGCUGCGAAAGCAAGGGGAGCAAACAGG